This 418-nucleotide ribosomal RNA is filed under the name uncultured eukaryote. RNAcentral's name for it is "bacterial SSU rRNA". It matches the Rfam family "Eukaryotic small subunit ribosomal RNA", at positions 592 to 1017 of the family's 1831-position model. The record is from RNAcentral.
CAAUAGCGUAUAUUAAAGUUGUUGCGGUUAAAAAGCUCGUAGUUGGAGUUCUGCCAGGUGCCGCCUGUCCGCCCCAGUGGUGAGUACGUGGCGCGCAUUUGGCCCUUUCAAGGGGAGCGUAUUGCACUUAACUGUGUGGUGCGGGAUCCUUGACUUUUACUUGAGGAAAUAAGAGUGUUCCAAGCAGGCUCUCGUCGUGCAUAGCUCAGCAUGGAAUAAUAGCAUUGGAUCUCGAUUCCAAACUGUUGGUUGUAGGAAACGAGAUAAUGAUGAAGAGGGAUAGUUGGGGGUGCUAGUAUUCAGCGGCCAGAGGUGAAAUUCUUGGAUUCGCUGAAGACUAACUUAUGCGAAAGCAUUCACCAAGGAUGUCUUCUUUAAUCAAGAACGAAAGUUGGGGAUCGAAGACGAUCAGAUUCCA